GCAGGUGUAGUUUAGUGGUAGAACUUCAGCUUUCCAAGCUGACUGUGAGGGUUCGAUUCCCUUCACCUGCUCCA
This 74-nucleotide transfer RNA is filed under the name Clostridiaceae bacterium. RNAcentral describes it as "tRNA-Gly". It matches the Rfam family "tRNA". Rfam says of the family: Transfer RNA (tRNA) molecules are approximately 80 nucleotides in length. Their secondary structure includes four short double-helical elements and three loops (D, anti-codon, and T loops). RNAcentral also lists the same sequence under 1 other name. The record is from RNAcentral. Lineage: Bacteria; Bacillati; Bacillota; Clostridia; Eubacteriales; Clostridiaceae.